GACGAACGCUGGCGGCGUGCUUAACACAUGCAAGUCGAACGGAGAGGCCCGGCUUUGGUGUGGUGGUCGAGUUGCGAACGGGUGAGUAACACGUGAGUAACCUGCCCGUUACUGUGGGAUAACUUCAGGAAACUGUGGCUAAUACCGGAUAAGAGCUCCUGCUGCAUGGUGGGGGUUGGAAAGUUUCGGCGGUUGGGGAUGGACUCGCGGCUUAUCAGCUUGUUGGUGUGGUAGUGGCUUACCAAGGCUUUGACGGGUAGCCGGCCUGAGAGGGUGACCGGCCCCAUUGGGACUGAGAUACGGCCCAGAGUCCUACGGGAGGCAGCAGUGGGGAAUAUUGCACAAUGGGCGGAAGCCUGAUGCAGCGACGCCGCGUGGGGGAUGACGGCCUUCGGGUUGUAAACCGCUUUCGCCUGGGAAGAAGAGUGAGUGACGGUAACGGGUCAAGAAGCAACGGCUAACUACGUG
This 468-nucleotide ribosomal RNA is filed under the name uncultured bacterium. Its description in RNAcentral is "partial 16S ribosomal RNA". It matches the Rfam family "Bacterial small subunit ribosomal RNA", at positions 28 to 507 of the family's 1533-position model. The record is from RNAcentral.